Molecule: long non-coding RNA, 250 nt
Organism: Alosa sapidissima (American shad)
Lineage: Eukaryota; Metazoa; Chordata; Actinopteri; Clupeiformes; Clupeidae
Exons: 3
Source: RefSeq, a predicted model, not a curated record
AUAUUAACUUCAGCUUUUAAUUUGAAAGCCGACGUCAUAGCUGCAUACUGUUGUUCGUCCACCUGACUCCUGCCUUCACCGCGGGAUCCCUUGUGCUGUUUUGGCCUCCUGCCCGCUGUGCAUGCAUCCAGUGACAUUCCUGGACUGCUGUCGGUCGCAGAACAUGGGCCUCAUAACCAACCUCAUCUGAUCGCAGAGCUUGGUGGUAACACAAGGAGCGGCAACAUCAAGGCUUCUUUGGUCCGGCUUC